UAGGGAAUCUUCCGCAAUGGGCGAAAGCCUGACGGAGCAACGCCGCGUGAGUGAUGAAGGUCUUCGGAUCGUAAAACUCUGUUAUUAGGGAAGAACAAAUGUGUAAGUAACUAUGCACGUCUUGACGGUACCUAAUCAGAAAGCCACGGCUAACUACGUGCCAGCAGCCGCGGUAAUACGUAGGUGGCAAGCGUUAUCCGGAAUUAUUGGGCGUAAAGCGCGCGUAGGCGGUUUUUUAAGUCUGAUGUGAAAGCCCACGGCUCAACCGUGGAGGGUCAUUGGAAACUGGAAAACUUGAGUGCAGAAGAGGAAAGUGGAAUUCCAUGUGUAGCGGUGAAAUGCGCAGAGAUAUGGAGGAACACCAGUGGCGAAGGCGACUUUCUGGUCUGUAACUGACGCUGAUGUGCGGAAGCGGGGGGAUCAAACAGG
Molecule: ribosomal RNA, 429 nt
Filed under: Actinomycetes bacterium
Lineage: Bacteria; Bacillati; Actinomycetota; Actinomycetes
Description: Actinobacteria bacterium partial 16S ribosomal RNA
Rfam family: Bacterial small subunit ribosomal RNA
Source: RNAcentral